Molecule: ribosomal RNA, 158 nt
Filed under: uncultured bacterium
Lineage: Bacteria
Description: partial 16S ribosomal RNA
Rfam family: Bacterial small subunit ribosomal RNA
Source: RNAcentral
UGAGGAAUAUUGGUCAAUGGGCUUACGCCUGAACCAGCCAAGUCGCGUGAGGGAAGACUGCCCUAUGGGUUGUAAACCUCUUUUGUCUAGGGAGCAAUUGGCGCUACGUGUAGCGUUAUCGAGAGUACCUGAAGAAAAGCAUCGGCUAACUCCGUGCC